This is a non-coding RNA of Myotis brandtii (Brandt's bat), 104 nucleotides long. The record is from Rfam. Lineage: Eukaryota; Metazoa; Chordata; Mammalia; Chiroptera; Vespertilionidae.
GCGCCCACUGUGUGCCUAUUGUUCUGUGGAAUGAUACAGAGAAAAUUAGCAUGGCCCUACACAAGGAUGACACUCAAAUUUGUGAAGUGUUUUGUGGCGUUUUU